RNAcentral lists this ribosomal RNA (463 nucleotides) under uncultured bacterium. RNAcentral describes it as "partial 16S ribosomal RNA". It matches the Rfam family "Bacterial small subunit ribosomal RNA", at positions 28 to 507 of the family's 1533-position model. The record is from RNAcentral.
GACGAACGCUGGCGGCGUGCUUAACACAUGCAAGUCGAACGGUGAACCUCUUCGUAGGGGAUCAGUUGCGAACGGGUGAGUAACACGUGGACAACCUGCCCCCGGCUCUGGGAUAACUCCAAGAAAUUGGGGCUAAUACCGGAUGUUCACCGCUUCCCGCAUGGGUGUUUGUGGAAAGGGUUUCCGGCUGGGGAUGGGCCCGCGGCCUAUCAGCUUGUUGGUGGGGUAGUGGCCUACCAAGGCGACGACGGGUAGCCGGCCUGAGAGGGUGAACGGCCACACUGGGACUGAGACACGGCCCAGACUCCUACGGGAGGCAGCAGUGGGGAAUAUUGCGCAAUGGGCGGAAGCCUGACGCAGCGACGCCGCGUGGGGGAUGACGGCCUUCGGGUUGUAAACCUCUUUCAGCAGGGACGAAGCGCAAGUGACGGUACCUGCAGAAGAAGCACCGGCUAACUACGUG